RNAcentral lists this ribosomal RNA (253 nucleotides) under uncultured bacterium. RNAcentral describes it as "partial 16S ribosomal RNA". It matches the Rfam family "Bacterial small subunit ribosomal RNA", at positions 524 to 776 of the family's 1533-position model. The record is from RNAcentral.
UACGUAGGGAGCAAGCGUUGUCCGGAAUCAUUGGGCGUAAAGCGCGCGUAGGCGGUCAGGUAAGUCCGGUGUGAAAGUCAAAGGCUCAACCUUUGAAUGCCGCUGGAAACUGCCUGACUUGAGUCCGGAAGGGGCGAGUGGAAUUCCUGGUGUAGCGGUGAAAUGCGCAGAUAUCAGGAGGAACACCAAUGGCGAAGGCAGCUCGCUGGAACGGUACUGACGCUGAGGCGCGAAAGCGUGGGGAGCGAACAGG